This 199-nucleotide ribosomal RNA is filed under the name uncultured bacterium. RNAcentral describes it as "partial 16S ribosomal RNA". It matches the Rfam family "Bacterial small subunit ribosomal RNA", at positions 1302 to 1500 of the family's 1533-position model. The record is from RNAcentral.
AGUCUGCAACUCGACUACAUGAAGCUGGAAUCGCUAGUAAUCGCGAAUCAGAAUGUCGCGGUGAAUACGUUCCCGGGUCUUGUACACACCGCCCGUCACACCAUGGGAGUUGGUAACGCCCGAAGUCAGUGACUCAACCGAAAGGGGAGAGCUGCCGAAGGCAGGCCUGGUGACUGGGGUGAAGUCGUAACAAGGUACC